CACGUAGGGCGCAAGCGUUGUCCGGAAUUAUUGGGCGUAAAGAGCUCGUAGGCGGUCUGUCGCGUCGAAUGUGAAAACCCGGGGCUCAACUCCGGGCUUGCAUUCGAUACGGGCAGGCUAGAGUUCGGUAGGGGAGUCUGGAAUUCCUGGUGUAGCGGUGAAAUGGCGCAGAUAUCAGGAGGAACACCGGUGGCGAAGGCGGGACUCUGGGCCGAUACUGACGCUGAGGAGCGAAAGCGUGGGGAGCGAACAGG
RNAcentral lists this ribosomal RNA (254 nucleotides) under uncultured bacterium. RNAcentral describes it as "partial 16S ribosomal RNA". It matches the Rfam family "Bacterial small subunit ribosomal RNA", at positions 524 to 776 of the family's 1533-position model. The record is from RNAcentral.